ACAUGUCUUUAAGAAAAUAAUUUAAAGUCUAAUCUGCUCCAUGAUGAAGAAUUAAAUAGCUGCAGAAAUCUAACUGUACAAAGGUAGCAUAAUCAAUAGUUUUUUAAUUAAAAGCUGGAAUGAAUGAUUUAAUAAAGUAAAUGUUGUCUCAAAUUUAAAAAAAUUAUAAUUUUAUAUUUAGUAAAAAAUCUAAAAUAAAUUUAAAAGACGAGAAGACCCUAUAGAUUUUUAUAUUUAAGAUUUAAAUUAUUUAAAUUAAUAAAUAAAUUUAAAUUAAAUAAUAUUUGGUUGGGGAAAUUAUUAAAUUAAUAAAAUUUUAAUAAUUUUGAAACAAUAAUUAUUGAAUAAUUGAUCUUAAUUAUUUAAAUUAAAAGAAUAAAAUACCUUAGGGAUAACAGCAUAAUUUUUUUAGAGAGAUCUUAUUGAUAAAAAAGUUUGUGACCUCGAUGUUGAAUUAAGAUAAAAUUUAAAUGGAGAAGUUUAAAAUUUUUGGUCUGUUCGACCAUUAAAAUCUUACGUGAUCUGA
RNAcentral lists this ribosomal RNA (526 nucleotides) under Myrmeleonostenus sp. 1 BFS-2018. Its description in RNAcentral is "partial 16S large subunit ribosomal RNA". The stretch from base 391 to 526 matches the Rfam family "Archaeal large subunit ribosomal RNA", at positions 2542 to 2677 of the family's 2987-position model. The record is from RNAcentral. Lineage: Eukaryota; Metazoa; Arthropoda; Insecta; Hymenoptera; Ichneumonidae.